GGGAAUAUUGGACAAUGGGCGAAAGCCUGAUCCAGCCAUGCCGCGUGAGUGAUGAAGGCCUUAGGGUUGUAAAGCUCUUUCGCCGACGAAGAUAAUGACGGUAGUCGGAGAAGAAGCCCCGGCUAACUUCGUGCCAGCAGCCGCGGUAAUACGAAGGGGGCUAGCGUUGCUCGGAAUCACUGGGCGUAAAGGGUGCGUAGGCGGGUU
RNAcentral lists this ribosomal RNA (207 nucleotides) under Pycnococcus provasolii. RNAcentral's name for it is "partial Bacterial small subunit ribosomal RNA". It matches the Rfam family "Bacterial small subunit ribosomal RNA", at positions 357 to 581 of the family's 1533-position model. The record is from RNAcentral. Lineage: Eukaryota; Viridiplantae; Chlorophyta; Pseudoscourfieldiophyceae; Pseudoscourfieldiales; Pycnococcaceae.